UUUCCAUACAAAAAACUAACUUGAAACGAUAUCUGCACCUCCGUGUUCAUUCCAGCGUUAUUUACAACAGCCAAGACAUGAAAACAACCUAAGUGUCCAUUGCUGGAUGAAUGGCUAAU
This is a non-coding RNA of Ceratotherium simum simum (southern white rhinoceros), 119 nucleotides long. The record is from RefSeq and is a predicted model, not a curated record. NCBI's taxonomy places the organism in Eukaryota, Metazoa, Chordata, Mammalia, Perissodactyla, Rhinocerotidae.